Molecule: ribosomal RNA, 467 nt
Filed under: uncultured bacterium
Lineage: Bacteria
Description: partial 16S ribosomal RNA
Rfam family: Bacterial small subunit ribosomal RNA
Source: RNAcentral
GACGAACGCUGGCGGCGUGCUUAACACAUGCAAGUCGAACGGAAAGGCCCUGCUUUUGUGGGGUGCUCGAGUGGCGAACGGGUGAGUAACACGUGAGUAACCUGCCCUUGACUUUGGGAUAACUUCAGGAAACUGGGGCUAAUACCGGAUAGGAGCUCCUGCUGCAUGGUGGGGGUUGGAAAGUUUCGGCGGUUGGGGAUGGACUCGCGGCUUAUCAGCUUGUUGGUGGGGUAGUGGCUUACCAAGGCUUUGACGGGUAGCCGGCCUGAGAGGGUGACCGGCCACAUUGGGAUUGGGAUACGGCCCAGACCCCUUGGGGAGGCAGGAGGGGGGAAUAUUGCAAAAGGGGGGGAAGCCGGAGGCAGCAACGCCGGGGGGGGGAUGACGGCCUUCGGGUUGUAAACCGCUUUCGCCUGGGACGAAGCGUGAGGGACGGUAAUGGGUAAAGAAGCACCGGCUAACUACGU